ACGCCUACCCCCUUUUCUUACAGUCUCUCCCAAUUCCUUUAGGUCUCCUCCAUUCCCUUUAAGGUUUCCGCAAUUUCCUUUAAGUUUUCCGUCAAUUCCUUUAAGUUUCCGUCAAUUCCUUUAAGUUUCCGUCAAUUUCCUUUAAAGUUUCUCCUACGUGAGGCAGCGGUGGGGAAUCUUGCACAAUCGGCGAAAGCGUGAGGCAGCCAUGCAGCGUGUGUGAAAAAGGCUAUCGGGGUGUGACACACCUUCAGUCAGGAGGAAAGGGGGGGAGUGGACCAAAAAAAUUAAAAAGACGUUACUGCCAGAAGGAGGACGGGAAAACUACGCGCCAGCAGCCGCGGUAAUACGGAGGGUGCGGGAGUUAAUCGGAAGAACUGGGCGUUAAGGGUACGCAGGGGGUUUAUUAAGCGCGUCUUUAUAUUUCGGAAAAAAGCCUGGGAACUACAUUUCCAACUGUCACGGUAGAAUUCCAUCGAGGGCGGUGGGAUUCCGGGUGUAACCGAUGAGACUCCUUUUUAAGAGAGAGAGAUUCCGACUGCGACGGUAAGUACGAGUCUCAACCUUAAAGUUCCAGUCUCAAACUAACCGCCUUUUCUCAAACUAUAGUCAUGACCAACCUCAAACCCCUUGUCUCAAACUAAAAGGAAAGACGGAAACAAAAGGAAUAACGAAAAUAAAGAAUGACGAAACAUGAGUAAACAAUUAGGGC
Molecule: ribosomal RNA, 712 nt
Filed under: uncultured bacterium
Lineage: Bacteria
Description: partial 16S ribosomal RNA
Rfam family: Bacterial small subunit ribosomal RNA (bases 1-370)
Source: RNAcentral